CGCAUACCGGGGAGUCUGUUACAAUGAGUGUGUUGGGCAAGAAACAGGAACCCCACAGAAAUAUGCCACCGCAAUGGGCGACCUCACUUUACGAUUUACUGAGACGUCAAACUGAGUCAACAGCACUAUGUGAUGAUGCCCCUCCACAAAACAAGACGGCUUUGGACCAGACGUUCAGGGAUGUCCUCACUCCUUACUACAAUAGCACCCAUGAAGGCCAUACAGGAGAAAGCCGAGGGAAGGAGGCAAUCAUAAAGUGAGCUGAUGAACUACAGGUGGAUGAAGGUGUAACAAAGGGCAGAGCACAAGAGAAAGGGGAAAAGUCUUCUUUCUAAAUAAAGUUUGGAACAGUAGCGUCCAUGUGUUUGGUUGUUCAGGAUGAAUAGGUAGCCUGUGGGCCUGUGAGUAUGAUGAAGAGAGCAAUCUGGUGCUUAAAGAUGUUUAAGGUCCCACUGGGGUCUGGAAGCCCAUUGUAUGUGUGUGUGUAUGUGUGUGUUUGUGUGUGCAAUUUAUAUAUCCAUUGGCUCAGGCAAAGCACCAUUAAGUAUGAAUGUAUUUAAUAAUGCGGUUAUUGAAUGAGCCAACUGGCUCAAAAUACGUAUUAGUUAGCCUCACUUUUGACUGAAUUGUGGAUGCGUCACAUACUGUAAGCACUACCCUUGAGCGUAUGCCCCUAGGCAUGUGCUUCUAACACACACGCAAGAACACAAAAGAAAAACCCUGUAGUUCUGACAUGAACACGAGGCAGAGAGAUGACACAAACUACUUCAACCCCGCAAACCACCAUCUUCACCCGUGUCGAAUGCUGUGUGACGCAAGCAAACUUAAUUUUCGACAACACAACAUUAAUUACUUUAUCACCCAGCACACCAGAAACCCCCAUUAACCUCGCCAUGACUUUCAAAAGAUUCCCAAUCACUGAAAUCAGAGCUCUGUUUCCUAAUAAAAACUACAAAGAGCUUCUCAUCUGCACUAAUUGAAAUGUUAACAGAUUUAAAUGGAAUGCGUUUGACAAUGACAAUACAGUGUAAUUACUGUUCUGAGGCUCUUGCCUAACACACCCCAUCCAGAGGGUGGAUCAUCGUAAUUCUGACACAGAAAGCAUCACAUGGAAAGAAAAGAAAAAUGAUGAAAGGGAAGUUUUGAAAUGAUGUUGACACAGGGGGGUUGACAGGAUGUCCCAUGUGGGCCUUUAAAGGAGCAGCGGGAGAAGAGAUGGAAGGGAAAUAUAAAUAUCUCAACAUCUCAAAAGCAGUGUGUUUUAAAAGGCCAGAGCUACAAACUUAAAUGCCACUCCACUGAUUCCUCACACACACUCCAUAUCUAGUUAUGUAGGAUUUUAAUAUAACGUCAUGCAUUAAAAAAAUGAUAUUCAGGUUGAAAUAAUUUGCAAACCUAUAAUAUAUAUUUAUAUACCACAAACUUUAACCAAUGACUUGUUCCAACACUCAAGUGAGUCCCCUUGGAUUUAGUUUCUCAGGAUGUUCCUGUUUUACAGUAAAUUUUAUAGAAUGUAUUUCACAGGUAUGCUGGUUCACUUUUGUUUUGCUUUGCCUUCUUCAUACUGUAUACCUGUCCUGUGAAAUCUAUACACAGAACAAAAGAAAAAAAGAUAAAAGACAUGAAAGAAUCAACCAGUGAAAAGUGUUUUCCAUCAGACCUUGAGCAGACAGAUGGCACUGGGUGUCUUUCUGAUAGAAACAAGCUAUGUCAUUCCCAAGGAAAUCAGACAAUCAAGCAUGAGAUAUUGACAUUGCACUCCUC
Alosa alosa (allis shad) is the source of this 1764-nucleotide long non-coding RNA. RefSeq lists it as uncharacterized. The record is from RefSeq and is a predicted model, not a curated record. The transcript has 3 exons. NCBI's taxonomy places the organism in Eukaryota, Metazoa, Chordata, Actinopteri, Clupeiformes, Clupeidae.